GGCCCCAUCGUCUAGCUGGCCUAGGACGCGGCCCUUUCACGGCUGAAACUCGGGUUCGAAUCCCGAUGGGGUCA
This 74-nucleotide transfer RNA is filed under the name Minisyncoccota bacterium. RNAcentral's name for it is "tRNA-Glu". It matches the Rfam family "tRNA". From Rfam's summary of the family: Transfer RNA (tRNA) molecules are approximately 80 nucleotides in length. Their secondary structure includes four short double-helical elements and three loops (D, anti-codon, and T loops). The record is from RNAcentral. Lineage: Bacteria; Bacillati; Minisyncoccota.